CCUACGGGAGGCUGCAGUGGGGAAUAUUGGGCAAUGGGCGCAAGCCUGACCCAGCAACGCCGCGUGAAGGAAGAAGGCCCUCGGGUUGUAAACUUCUUUUAUCAAGGACGAAACAAAUGACGGUACUUGAUGAAUAAGCCACGGCUAACUACGUGCCAGCAGCCGCGGUAAUACGUAGGUGGCAAGCGUUGUCCGGAUUUACUGGGUGUAAAGGGCGUGUAGCCGGGUUGACAAGUCAGAUGUGAAAUCCUGCGGCUUAACCGCAGAACUGCAUUUGAAACUGUUGAUCUUGAGUACUGGAGAGGCAGACGGAAUUCCUAGUGUAGCGGUGAAAUGCGUAGAUAUUAGGAGGAACACCAGUGGCGAAGGCGGUCUGCUGGACAGCAACUGACGGUGAGGCGCGAAAGCGUGGGGAGCAAACAGGAUUAGAUACCCCUGUAGUC
This 443-nucleotide ribosomal RNA is filed under the name uncultured bacterium. RNAcentral's name for it is "partial 16S ribosomal RNA". It matches the Rfam family "Bacterial small subunit ribosomal RNA", at positions 338 to 795 of the family's 1533-position model. The record is from RNAcentral.